RNAcentral lists this ribosomal RNA (253 nucleotides) under uncultured bacterium. RNAcentral's name for it is "partial 16S ribosomal RNA". It matches the Rfam family "Bacterial small subunit ribosomal RNA", at positions 524 to 776 of the family's 1533-position model. The record is from RNAcentral.
GACAGAGGGGGCAAGCGUUGCUCGGAAUUACUGGGCGUAAAGGGCGCGUAGGCGGGAUGGCAAGUCGGUCGUGAAAUCCUUCGGCUCAACCGAAGAACGUCGAUCGAUACUGCUGUUCUUGAGGGUUGCAGAGGAGACUGGAAUUCCCGGUGUAGCGGUGAAAUGCGUAGAUAUCUGGAGGAACACCGGUGGCGAAGGCGGCAUCCUGGACCGGCAUUGACGCUGAGGAGCGAAAGCCAGGGGAGCAAACGGG